AGUGAACGUUGGCGGUAGGCCUAACACAUGCAAGUCGAACGGCAGCACAGUAAGAGCUUGCUCUUACGGGUGGCGAGUGGCGGACGGGUGAGGAAUACAUCGGAAUCUACUUUUUCGUGGGGGAUAACGUAGGGAAACUUACGCUAAUACCGCAUACGACCUACGGGUGAAAGCAGGGAUCUUCGGACCUUGCGCGAUUGAAUGAGCCGAUGUCGGAUUAGCUAGUUGGCGGGGUAAAGGCCCACCAAGGCGACGAUCCGUAGCUGGUCUGAGAGGAUGAUCAGCCACACUGGAACUGAGACACGGUCCAGACUCCUACGGGAGGCAGCAGUGGGGAAUAUUGGACAAUGGGCGCAAGCCUGAUCCAGCCAUACCGCGUGGGUGAAGAAGGCCUUCGGGUUGUAAAGCCCUUUUGUUGGGAAAGAAAAGCAGCAGGUUAAUACCCCGCUGUUCUGACGGUACCCAAAGAAUAAGCACCGGCUAACUUCGUG
This 491-nucleotide ribosomal RNA is filed under the name uncultured bacterium. RNAcentral describes it as "partial 16S ribosomal RNA". It matches the Rfam family "Bacterial small subunit ribosomal RNA", at positions 29 to 507 of the family's 1533-position model. The record is from RNAcentral.